GUAACAAGGUCUCCGUUGGUGAACCAGCGGAGGGAUCAUUACUGAGUACUACACUCUCUACCCUUUGUGAACUAUUAUACCUGUUGCUUCGGCGGCGCCCGCGAGGGUGCCCGCCGGUCUCAUCAGAAUCUCUGUUUUCGAACCCGACGAUACUUCUGAGUGUUCUUAGCGAACUGUCAAAACUUUUAACAACGGAUCUCUUGGCUCCAGCAUCGAUGAAGAACGCAGCGAAACGCGAUAUGUAAUGUGAAUUGCAGAAUUCAGUGAAUCAUCGAAUCUUUGAACGCACAUGGCGCCUUCCAGUAUCCUGGGAGGCAUGCCUGUCCGAGCGUCGUUUCAACCCUCGAGCCCCUGUGGCCCGGCGUUGGGGAUCUGCCACGGCAGGCCCCUAAAACCAGUGGCGGACCCGAAGGCCCUCUCCUUUGCGCAGUAGCAUCAGCCUCGCAUUGGGAUCCCUCGGCGUCCUGCCUCUAAACCCCCCACAAGUCCGCUCCGGCGGCACCAAGGUUGACCUCGGAUCAGGUAGGAAUACCCGCUGAACUUAAGC
RNAcentral lists this unclassified non-coding RNA (547 nucleotides) under Plectosphaerella cucumerina. RNAcentral's name for it is "sequence contains 18S rRNA gene, ITS1, 5.8S rRNA gene, ITS2". The stretch from base 181 to 334 matches the Rfam family "5.8S ribosomal RNA". Lineage: Eukaryota; Fungi; Ascomycota; Sordariomycetes; Glomerellales; Plectosphaerellaceae. The record is from RNAcentral.